Molecule: ribosomal RNA, 118 nt
Filed under: Diaphorina citri (Asian citrus psyllid)
Lineage: Eukaryota; Metazoa; Arthropoda; Insecta; Hemiptera; Psyllidae
Source: RNAcentral
GCCACUGACGAUAGCACGUUGAAAGCACCAGUUCAAAAUAGAACACUGAAGUUAAACAACGUUGGAAUUGGUUGAUAUUCGGAUGGGUGACCAUUUGGGCAAUCAAGUGCUACUGGCU